AGCAGCCGCGGUAAUUCCAGCUCCAAUAGCGUAUAUUAAAGUUGUUGCAGUUAAAAAGCUCGUAGUUGAAUUUCGGGGUUAGUAGGUUGGUCAUGCCUCUGGUAUGUACUGGUCUCACUGAUUCCUCCUUCCUGAUGAGCCGUAAUGCCAUUAAUUUGGUGUUGCGGGGAAUUUGGACUGUUACUUUGAAAAAUUAGAGUGUUUAAAGCAGGCAUUUUUGCUUGAAUACAUUAGCAUGGAAUAAUAAAAUAGGACGGCAUGGUUCUAUUUUGUUGGUUUCUAGGACCACCGUAAUGAUUAAUAGGGAUAGUUGGGGGGCAUUAGUAUUCAAUUGUCAGAGGUGAAAUUCUUGGAUUAUUGAAGACUAACUACUGCGAAAGCAUUUUGCCAAGGAUGUUUUCAUUAAUCAAGAACGAAAGUUAGGGGAUCGAAGACGAUCAGAUACCGUCGUAGUCUUAACCAUAAACUAUGCCGACUAGGAAUCAGACGAUGUUAAUUUUUUAAUGACUCGUUUGGCACC
This 520-nucleotide unclassified non-coding RNA is filed under the name uncultured Archaeospora. RNAcentral describes it as "SSU rRNA". It matches the Rfam family "Eukaryotic small subunit ribosomal RNA", at positions 569 to 1087 of the family's 1831-position model. Lineage: Eukaryota; Fungi; Glomeromycota; Glomeromycetes; Archaeosporales; Archaeosporaceae. The record is from RNAcentral.